AGUUGUGAAAGCUAUUUUAUUUGAUCUUGAAAGGGGAAAAAAAAAAGUGCCAUUCCAAAUAAGUCACAAUCACUUUAUUGAAUAUAAACGCAAGGACCAGCAGGCAGUGGGCGCGUUCAACCGGUAAUUGGACCAAACGCCAGCAGUGGCGUCAUUUCUGAACACAGGCUAUAUUGCUUAAGAUACAGGCUGCAGUUCUCCCCCUCAAAACAACUUUGCAAAAGGGAUGAAAACCUAACCCAACGAAAAUUGGAACAAGAGGUUAAUCUACUCUACUAGUCACAAGGCAUCCAAACAUACCUGCAGCCACAAAUUACAAGUAUGAGAGGGGUCCGCAUUAUUCUCAGAUAGUGAAGACUCUUCAACAAAGUACACGGGCAUGCAUGAACUUUGUUGCCUUUCAUUUUCAUUCUUGAACUGCUAUACGGUGUCAAUUUUCAACUGAAGGCGAAAUGAUAUGCUAGAGAUUAAUUCUCCUGGCAAUAAAGUAGUACCAAAGAAACAAUAUGACCCCGCCUUUGAUUUAAACCGAACUAUGAAUGGUGAAAGGAUGAUCCAGAAACAAGGCAAGUAAGCAGAAGAAAGCAGCUCAUGUUUACCUUCAUACAAAUUCAACAAAAUUUGGUAGUUGAAUUGAGAUUCAAAUAAUUGUACCAAUUCAAAGUCAUUUUUGGCCAAUCACAUCUCUAAAAAAAGCCUCUUCUCAAAUAUACUUUAUAAUGAGGAAUACUCAUGACUAAAUGAUGCAGUAUUGGAAGAGGAGUAAAUUUAGGAAUUACAUUCAUUGUAGAAUUAUUCUACAUCACUAAACAUUUCCUCCAUCUCUCCACAACUCCACAUUACACUGAAAGCCCACUUUUAUUCAGAAGCCUUACUAGUAUUCACUCCAGAGUGGCAUUUAUGGGUCUAGGCAAUGCCUUCCUUCGUUGUAACAAUGCAAGACCUCUACGCAAAAGUUCAUAAAAAGAAUAGGCCUGUCUUGGUUGGAGGCCUGCCAGUUCUACAGCGCCUAGGAUAAGGCAAAUCCUUACUACCUCCAAUGAAGGUCUAGCAAGAUCUUCAUCCUUGUCAGGAUUGCACAAAUCAUUAUAAGGAGUAUAAUGAUAAAUCCUAUCAUGAAGCUUUCUCUUGCCUUUCCCAUAGCCGUGAAUGCUAAGCAAGUCUUCAUGCCAUAGAUCGUUAAUGCCAGGAGGUGUUUGUGAUGGUAGGUAAGCCUGUUCAAUAGUAUAUGAAAUAGAACAAUUUAGAUAAAGGAAAGAAAAAUAAGUAACCAUUGAACAGUGUUCUCACUUGAUUUCUGAAGAUAAUUCUGCUUUCAGGAUUAUCUUUUUGGGAAUGAAUCCAGGCAUUUGCAGAGAAGAAAAAUGAACCUCCACCCAGACCAUGAAUUACAAUCUCCACCAAGUAGAACUUCUUGCCAUGAAGAUUGGUAAUAAGAACAGCUCCAGGAUUGCCAAAGUCGCAAGGAAGUGUGAAGUCAGCUGCAUGCUCAACAAUAUGAACAUGGUUUGAUGGCUUUGGCAACCAGCCUCU
Molecule: unclassified non-coding RNA, 1533 nt
Filed under: Hevea brasiliensis (rubber tree)
Lineage: Eukaryota; Viridiplantae; Streptophyta; Magnoliopsida; Malpighiales; Euphorbiaceae
Source: RNAcentral